GGCCCAGAGUGCUGAAGUGCUGAAGCUCCUGUAGAAGGUCCUUCCAUGUGUCUUUCAGAUCCUGGGCUUGGCCUUCUCCAUAACCAUCACCCAGCACAUCCACUGGACUGGGUCUUGCUCUGUCAUCCAGACUGGAGUACAGUGGUGCAACCACGGCUCACUGCAGCCUUGAACUCCUGGGCUCAAGCAAUCCUCCUACCUCAGCCUCCAUAGCAGUCGGGACCACAGAUGGAGUCUUGCUUUGUCGCCCAGGGUUGAAGUGUAGUGGCACAAUCUUGGCUCACUGUAACCUCCACCUCCCGGGUUCAAGCAAUUCUCCUGCCUCAGCCUCCCGAGUAGCUGGGAUUACAGCGUGGCCAUCCAGCCUGCCCUGAUUUCUCCUGAGCAUACAAGUGCCUGGUCCACACGUCCACAA
This 415-nucleotide long non-coding RNA is filed under the name Homo sapiens (human). RNAcentral describes it as "TSPAN11 antisense RNA 1". The record is from RNAcentral. Lineage: Eukaryota; Metazoa; Chordata; Mammalia; Primates; Hominidae.